RNAcentral lists this transfer RNA (64 nucleotides) under Dipodomys ordii (Ord's kangaroo rat). It matches the Rfam family "tRNA". From Rfam's summary of the family: Transfer RNA (tRNA) molecules are approximately 80 nucleotides in length. Lineage: Eukaryota; Metazoa; Chordata; Mammalia; Rodentia; Heteromyidae. The record is from Rfam by way of RNAcentral.
GGUGGCUCAUGGUAGAGCUCUUGCCUUGCAUGCAUGAGGCCCUGGGUUCGAUUCCUCAGCACCA